GACGAACGCUGGCGGCGUGCCUAAUACAUGCAAGUCGAGCGAGCUUGCCUAGAUGAAUUUGGUGCUUGCACCAAAUGAAACUAGAUACAAGCGAGCGGCGGACGGGUGAGUAACACGUGGGUAACCUGCCCAAGAGACUGGGAUAACACCUGGAAACAGAUGCUAAUACCGGAUAACAACACUAGACGCAUGUCUAGAGUUUAAAAGAUGGUUCUGCUAUCACUCUUGGAUGGACCUGCGGUGCAUUAGCUAGUUGGUAAGGUAACGGCUUACCAAGGCAAUGAUGCAUAGCCGAGUUGAGAGACUGAUCGGCCACAUUGGGACUGAGACACGGCCCAAACUCCUACGGGAGGCAGCAGUAGGGAAUCUUCCACAAUGGACGCAAGUCUGAUGGAGCAACGCCGCGUGAGUGAAGAAGGGUUUCGGCUCGUAAAGCUCUGUUGGUAGUGAAGAAAGAUAGAGGUAGUAACUGACCUUUAUUUGACGGUAAUUACUUAGAAAGUCACGGCUAACUACGUGCCAGCAGCCGCGGUAAUACGUAGGUGGCAAGCGUUGUCCGGAUUUAUUGGGCGUAAAGCGAGUGCAGGCGGUUCAAUAAGUCUGAUGUGAAAGCCUUCGGCUCAACCGGAGAAUUGCAUCAGAAACUGUUGAACUUGAGUGCAGAAGAGGAGGGUGGAACUCCAUGUGUAGCGGUGGAAUGCGUAGAUAUAUGGAGGAACACCAGUGGCGAAGGCGGCUCUCUGGUCUGCAACUGACGCUGAGGCUCGAAAGCAUGGGUAGCGAACAGG
RNAcentral lists this ribosomal RNA (788 nucleotides) under uncultured Lactobacillus sp. Its description in RNAcentral is "bacterial SSU rRNA". It matches the Rfam family "Bacterial small subunit ribosomal RNA", at positions 28 to 776 of the family's 1533-position model. Lineage: Bacteria; Bacillati; Bacillota; Bacilli; Lactobacillales; Lactobacillaceae. The record is from RNAcentral.